CGUCUGAUUAGCUAGUUGGUAAGGUAAAAGCUUACCAAGGCAACGAUCAGUAGCUGGUCUGAGAGGAUGAGCAGCCACACUGGGACUGAGACACGGCCCAGACUCCUACGGGAGGCAGCAGUGGGGAAUUUUCCGCAAUGGGCGAAAGCUUGACGGAGCAAGACCGCGUGGGGGAGGAAGGCUCUAGGGUUGUAAACCCCUUUUCUUUGGGAAGAACAAAAUGACGGUACCAAAGGAAUCAGCCUCGGCUAACUCCGUGCCAGCAGCCGCGGUAAUACGAGGAGGCAAGCGUUAUCCGGAAUGAUUGGGCGUAAAGCGUCCCCCAGGUGGCAAUGUAAGUCUGCUGUCAAAACCCAGGGCUCCACUCUGGUCAGGCAGUGGAAACUACAUACCUAGAGUUCGGUAGGGGCAAAGGGAAUUCCCGGUGUAACGGUGAAAUGCGUAGAGAUCGGGAAGAAU
RNAcentral lists this ribosomal RNA (459 nucleotides) under Blennothrix brebissonii HL (L0571047). RNAcentral's name for it is "bacterial SSU rRNA". It matches the Rfam family "Bacterial small subunit ribosomal RNA", at positions 234 to 707 of the family's 1533-position model. The record is from RNAcentral. Lineage: Bacteria; Bacillati; Cyanobacteriota; Cyanophyceae; Oscillatoriales; Microcoleaceae.